CACCUAGAGGAUCCUGUUCUUUACCGCCCGUCCACGAUCCAACUAACCACCCCUUGCCAACACAGCCUACAUACCGCCGUCACCGGCUCACCUCUAAUGAAAGAACAACAGUGAGCCCAACAGUCCCCACUACCAAGACAGGUCAAGGUAUACCCCAUGGGGUGGAAGAAAUGGGCUACAUUUUCUAGCAUAGAACAUAACGGAAAAGAGCGUGAAACUCGCCCUUAGAAGGAGGAUUUAGCAGUAAAGUAGGACCACACUCCCCUUCAAGCCUUCUUAAAGACGGCUCUGAGGCACGUACACACCGCCCGUCACAAAAA
Molecule: ribosomal RNA, 320 nt
Filed under: Pavo cristatus (Indian peafowl)
Lineage: Eukaryota; Metazoa; Chordata; Aves; Galliformes; Phasianidae
Description: partial small subunit ribosomal RNA
Source: RNAcentral